UAGGGAAUCUUCGGCAAUGGGGGGAACCCUGACCGAGCAACGCCGCGUGAGUGAAGAAGGUUUUCGGAUCGUAAAGCUCUGUUGUUAAGGAAGAACGAGUGUGAGAAUGGAAAGUUCAUGCUGUGACGGUACUUAACCAGAAAGGGACGGCUAACUACGUGCCAGCAGCCGCGGUAAUACGUAGGUCCCGAGCGUUGUCCGGAUUUAUUGGGCGUAAAGCGAGCGCAGGCGGUUAGAAAAGUCUGAAGUGAAAGGCGGUGGCUCAACCAUUGUAGGCUUUGGAAACUGUUUAACUUGAGUGCAGAAGGGGAGAGUGGAAUUCCGUGUGUAGCGGUGACAUGCGUAGCUAUAUGGAGGAACACCGGUGGCGAAGGCGGCUCUCUGGUCUGUAACUGACGCUGAGGCUCGAAAGCGUGGGGAGCGAACAGG
RNAcentral lists this ribosomal RNA (429 nucleotides) under Bacteroidota bacterium. RNAcentral describes it as "Bacteroidetes bacterium partial 16S ribosomal RNA". It matches the Rfam family "Bacterial small subunit ribosomal RNA", at positions 355 to 776 of the family's 1533-position model. The record is from RNAcentral. Lineage: Bacteria; Pseudomonadati; Bacteroidota.